GUCGAACGCCCCGCAAGGGGAGUGGCAGACGGGUGAGUAACGCGUGGGAACAUACCCUUUCCUGCGGAAUAGCUCCGGGAAACUGGAAUUAAUACCGCAUACGCCCUACGGGGGAAAGAUUUAUCGGGGAAGGAUUGGCCCGCGUUGGAUUAGCUAGUUGGUGGGGUAAAGGCCUACCAAGGCGACGAUCCAUAGCUGGUCUGAGAGGAUGAUCAGCCACAUUGGGACUGAGACACGGCCCAAACUCCUACGGGAGGCAGCAGUGGGGAAUAUUGGACAAUGGGCGCAAGCCUGAUCCAGCCAUGCCGCGUGAGUGAUGAAGGCCUUAGGGUUGUAAAGCUCUUUCACCGGAGAAGAUAAUGACGGUAUCCGGAGAAGAAGCCCCGGCUAACUUCGUGCCAGCAGCCGCGGUAAUACGAAGGGGGCUAGCGUUGUUCGGAAUUACUGGGCGUAAAGCGCACGUAGGCGGAUAUUUAAGUCAGGGGUGAAAUCCCAGAGCUCAACUCUGGAACUGCCUUUGAUACUGGGUAUCUUGAGUAUGGAAGAGGUAAGUGGAAUUCCGAGUGUAGAGGUGAAAUUCGUAGAUAUUCGGAGGAACACCAGUGGCGAAGGCGGCUUACUGGUCCAUUACUGACGCUGA
Molecule: ribosomal RNA, 640 nt
Filed under: Agrobacterium tumefaciens
Lineage: Bacteria; Pseudomonadati; Pseudomonadota; Alphaproteobacteria; Hyphomicrobiales; Rhizobiaceae
Description: bacterial SSU rRNA
Rfam family: Bacterial small subunit ribosomal RNA
Source: RNAcentral